CUGGGAAUUGCACUCAAAACUGUACGGCUAGAGUGUGGGAGAGGAAGGUAGAAUUCCAGGUGUAGCGGUGAAAUGCGUAGAUAUCUGGAGGAAUACCGAUGGCGAAGGCAGCCUUCUGGCCUAACACUGACGCUGAGGUGCGAAAGCAUGGGGAGCAAACAGGAUUAGAUACCCUGGUAGUCCAUGCCGUAAACGAUGUCUACUAGCCGUUGGGGGACUUGAUCCUUUAGUGGCGCAGCUAACGCAUUAAGUAGACCGCCUGGGGAGUACGGUCGCAAGACUAAAACUCAAAUGAAUUGACGGGGGCCCGCACAAGCGGUGGAGCAUGUGGUUUAAUUCGAUGCAACGCGAAGAACCUUACCUGGCCUUGACAUGUCCGGAAUCCUGCAGAGAUGCGGGAGUGCCUUCGGGAAUCGGAACACAGGUGCUGCAUGGCUGUCGUCAGCUCGUGUCGUGAGAUGUUGGGUUAAGUCCCGCAACGAGCGCAACCCUUGUCCUUAGUUGCCAGCACGUAAUGGUGGGAACUCUAGGGAGACUGCCGGUGACAAACCGGAGGAAGGCGGGGACGACGUCAAGUCAUCAUGGCCCUUACGGCCAGGGCUACACACGUGCUACAAUGGUCGGUACAAAGGGUUGCUAGCCCGCGAGGGUACGCCAAUCUCAAAAAGCCGAUCGUAGUCCGGAUUGGAGUCUGCAACUCGACUCCAUGAAGUCGGAAUCGCUAGUAAUCGCGGAUCAGAAUGCCGCGGUGAAUACGUUCCCGGGCCUUGUACACACCGCCCGUCACACCAUGGGAGUUUACUGCACCAGAAGUAGGUAGCUUAACCGCAAGGAGGGCGCUUACCACGGUGUGGUCAAUGACUGGGGUGAAGUCGUAACAAGGUAGCCG
This 889-nucleotide ribosomal RNA is filed under the name uncultured bacterium. Its description in RNAcentral is "bacterial SSU rRNA". It matches the Rfam family "Bacterial small subunit ribosomal RNA", at positions 614 to 1502 of the family's 1533-position model. The record is from RNAcentral.